Molecule: ribosomal RNA, 646 nt
Filed under: Paenibacillus sp. R02-4-2
Lineage: Bacteria; Bacillati; Bacillota; Bacilli; Caryophanales; Paenibacillaceae
Description: bacterial SSU rRNA
Rfam family: Bacterial small subunit ribosomal RNA
Source: RNAcentral
GCGGCGGACGGGUGAGUAACACGUAGGCAACCUGCCCUCAAGACUGGGAUAACUACCGGAAACGGUAGCUAAUACCGGAUAAUUUAUUUCACAGCAUUGUGGAAUAAUGAAAGACGGAGCAAUCUGUCACUUGGGGAUGGGCCUGCGGCGCAUUAGCUAGUUGGUGGGGUAAUGGCUCACCAAGGCGACGAUGCGUAGCCGACCUGAGAGGGUGAACGGCCACACUGGGACUGAGACACGGCCCAGACUCCUACGGGAGGCAGCAGUAGGGAAUCUUCCGCAAUGGGCGAAAGCCUGACGGAGCAACGCCGCGUGAGUGAUGAAGGUUUUCGGAUCGUAAAGCUCUGUUGCCAAGGAAGAACGUCUUCUAGAGUAACUGCUAGGAGAGUGACGGUACUUGAGAAGAAAGCCCCGGCUAACUACGUGCCAGCAGCCGCGGUAAUACGUAGGGGGCAAGCGUUGUCCGGAAUUAUUGGGCGUAAAGCGCGCGCAGGCGGUUCUUUAAGUCUGGUGUUUAAACCCGAGGCUCAACUUCGGGUCGCACUGGAAACUGGGGGACUUGAGUGCAGAAGAGGAGAGUGGAAUUCCACGUGUAGCGGUGAAAUGCGUAGAUAUGUGGAGGAACACCAGUGGCGAAGGCGACUCU